UCGCUAAAGGAUGGACCCGCGGUGCAUUAGCUAGUUGGUAAGGUAACGGCCUACCAAGGCAGUGAUGCAUAGCCGAGUUGAGAGACUGAUCGGCCACAUUGGGACUGAGACACGGCCCAAACUCCUACGGGAGGCAGCAGUAGGGAAUCCUCCACAAUGGACGCAAGUCUGAUGGAGCAACGCCGCGUGAGUGAAGAAGGUUUUCGGAUCGUAAAGCUCUGUUGUUGGUGAAGAAGGAUAGAGGCAGUAACUGGCCUUUAUUUGACGGUAAUCAACCAGAAAGUCACGGCUAACUACGUGCCAGCAGCCGCGGUAAUACGUAGGUGGCAAGCGUUGUCCGGAUUUAUUGGGCGUAAAGCGAGCGCAGGCGGAAGAAUAAGUCUGAUGUGAAAGCCCUCGGCUUAACCGAGGAAUUGCAUCGGANACUGUUUUUCUUGAGUGCAGAAGAGGAGAGUAGAACUCCAUGUGUAGCGGUGGAAUGCGUAGAUAU
Molecule: ribosomal RNA, 490 nt
Filed under: uncultured bacterium
Lineage: Bacteria
Description: bacterial SSU rRNA
Rfam family: Bacterial small subunit ribosomal RNA
Source: RNAcentral